Molecule: long non-coding RNA, 1144 nt
Filed under: Triticum aestivum (bread wheat)
Lineage: Eukaryota; Viridiplantae; Streptophyta; Magnoliopsida; Poales; Poaceae
Description: long non-coding RNA (TAES_LNC012898)
Source: RNAcentral
CAAACUCAGAGCAUUCCGCCGAUCCACCACCGCCGCCGCCAACACCACACCUCGAGAGUCCUCGCCGCCGGAGAAGCAGGCAAGCGAGAUGGCCGGGAGGAAGGGCGGCGAGAGGAAGAAGUCGGUGACCCGGUCCGUGAAGGCCGGGCUCCAGUUCCCCGUCGGCCGCAUCGGGCGCUUCCUCAAGAAGGGCCGCUACGCGCAGCGCGUCGGCUCCGGCGCCCCCGUCUACCUCGCCGCCGUCCUCGAGUACCUCGCCGCCGAGGUAACCACAGAUCUUCGCUGUCCUUGAGCGUCUGUUCUGCUCUGUUCUUCUUGUGUUGGACAGGUAACCGAUCUCGUUCUUGGUUGAUGAAUCGCAGGUCCUGGAGCUGGCCGGCAACGCGGCCAAGGACAACAAGAAGACCCGCAUCGUGCCGCGGCACCUGCUGCUGGCCGUCCGCAACGACCAGGAGCUCGGCAGGCUGCUCGCCGGCGUCACCAUCGCCCACGGCGGCGUGAUCCCCAACAUCAACCCCGUGCUGCUCCCCAAGAAGUCCGCCGCCGCCGCCGAGAAGGAGGCCACCAAGUCGCCCAAGAAGAAGGCCGCCGCCAAGUCCCCCAAGAAGAAGCCCGCCGCCGCCAAGGAGUAGCCUGGCCUACUACGCCGAGGGACCGUGUCGUGUUGCCUAGUUCCAUGUCUUUUGGUUAGCUGGAUCUUGUAUGUAGCGCCUGGUCUGGAGUUGCAAGCUGGUAGUAGUCUGUAGUGUAGUGGCCCUUUCAUCAGAUCUCGAUGAGCAAGGCUGGCAUGGCAUUGUGUCUGUGAUUUACUUUCUGGGAAUGGCUAAAGAAAGAUGCAAUCCUUUCAAUCUUAAUAAUUCUCUUGUGGAUCAAUGGCUGAAAUCAAUCUUAUGAAUCUUUGUCAUCUGUCUUUGCCUUGGAAACAUUUGGUGUGGAUCUGAAAAUUGCCCCAUGUGUUCUUGGCCUAGUGAAGCAUGGUCCUCAACUUCAGCCAGUCAUGUUAAACUUCUUAUCCUAAAUGUUAUCUUUCAGUUCUCAGUUAAUUAUCGCCCUAUUAACAGGGCCAACGUGUUGAUGCCGAUUGUGUUUCCUUCAAGCAGCAGGACCUGAAAGAAUCAAAAUCGGAGGCCAAUUGUGUUUCCAU